RNAcentral lists this ribosomal RNA (253 nucleotides) under uncultured bacterium. RNAcentral's name for it is "partial 16S ribosomal RNA". It matches the Rfam family "Bacterial small subunit ribosomal RNA", at positions 524 to 776 of the family's 1533-position model. The record is from RNAcentral.
UACGUAGGGGGCAAGCGUUAUCCGGAUUUACUGGGUGUAAAGGGAGCGUAGACGGCAGGGCAAGUCUGGAGUGAAAGGCAGGGGCCCAACCCCUGGACUGCUCUGGAAACUGUCCGGCUGGAGUGCAGGAGAGGUAAGUGGAAUUCCUAGUGUAGCGGUGUAAUGCGUAGAUAUUAGGAGGAACACCAGUGGCGAAGGCGGCUUACUGGACUGUAACUGACGUUGAGGCUCGAAAGCGUGGGGAGCAAACAGG